This is an RNA transcript of Corticium candelabrum, 1054 nucleotides long. It is a transcript of the gene named saccharopine dehydrogenase-like oxidoreductase, with no coding region annotated. The record is from RefSeq and is a predicted model, not a curated record. The transcript has 8 exons. NCBI's taxonomy places the organism in Eukaryota, Metazoa, Porifera, Homoscleromorpha, Homosclerophorida, Plakinidae.
GUUUGUUUCUUGUUGCACGUGACCCGUAAACGGGUGGAGCAGAGGAUAUUGCGACGGCAUCCGUCUCGGAGCGUGAACAGAAGCCAUGGAGGUGCAAGAAGAGGUGCCAGACGCCGCUAGCUAAUCACGUGAAUAAGAAGAAUGACUGAAGAAGCGAAGCGAACGUACGAGCUUGUGGUGUUUGGUGCGUCCGGUUAUACUGGUGAAUUUGUGGCUGAAAGAGUCGCAAAACGGGCAAGGGAAGUCUCUCUUUCAUGGGCAGUCGCAGGCAGAAAUCUUGCAAAGCUACAGAAGGUUGUAGACGAUAUUGCCAAGUCAACAGGAGGAAAUCCAUCCGAUGUGGGUAUAAUUGAAGCAGACAUAGAAGAUGAAACCUCACUCAAACAGAUGUGUGCCAGCUGUAAGGUGCUACUCAACUGUGUGGGACCAUAUCGUUUCUACGGUGAGCCGGUUGUCAAGGCUUGUGUUGAGGAGAAAUGUGAUUAUGUUGAUAUCAGUGGUGAGCCACAGUUUCUGGAGACAAUGCAGCUCAAGUACAACGAAAAGGCUCGAGACAAUGGCGUUCACAUUGUUGGCACGUGUGGGUUUGAUAGCAUUCCUGCCGACAUAGGAACGUUGUUUGCAAGAGAGAAGUUUCCUGUCCAUCAGCUGACGAUAAGUCUUCACUGAUUCAUGUCACUGAAGUUCAUGGUGAAGAGCCUGGAUAUGUUGCUACAUCUGCAAUGUUCGUAGAGGCGGCUAUUACAUUACUACUUGAACAUUCAAGUCUUCCAAACAAAGGAAGAGUGCUAACGCCUGCGUCAGCAUUUCGAGGAACGAAGCUGCUAGAUAAUCUUGUUCGACAAGGAGUGCAGUUCAUUGUUCACGGAGAAGAGUACAAGGCAUGAGAUAAACAGAUGACUUGAAGAGAUUUGUUGUUGAUUGAGUUGCUUUCUUCAAACGCAAUCUUGCAUGCAGUGAUCAUUGAGUUUUUUUACUGAACUGGACUUAGACGUGUGACCAUCAAUCAUUUUUGACUUUGCUAUGCCCCCUGAUCAUUGUCAUGUGAUAUGAG